UGGUGAGAUCUAGGCUCCUUAGCAAGGGCUAUGAUGCCAUUGUCUUUGCAGUAUAGUGUCACGGCAUUUGAUAGUAUGACAACUAAUUCUGCAACUAACAUUACAACCAAAAUGCAUCCUACACAUCUACAGUAUACUCAGCUUUCAUUGAUCUAUUAUUUAAAAUUCUUCUAAGAUAUCAUCAUAAGAACACAUCCAUGAUGUAGAUAUUCUAUCAUCAACAUUAGAUAUAAAGUCUGAAUUGGUGUAUCCUCCCA
RNAcentral lists this long non-coding RNA (257 nucleotides) under Elaeis guineensis (African oil palm). RNAcentral describes it as "long non-coding RNA (EGUI_LNC059479)". The record is from RNAcentral. Lineage: Eukaryota; Viridiplantae; Streptophyta; Magnoliopsida; Arecales; Arecaceae.